This 513-nucleotide ribosomal RNA is filed under the name uncultured bacterium. RNAcentral describes it as "partial 16S ribosomal RNA". It matches the Rfam family "Bacterial small subunit ribosomal RNA", at positions 30 to 523 of the family's 1533-position model. The record is from RNAcentral.
AUUGAACGCUGGCGGCAUGCCUAACACAUGCAAGUCGAACGGCAGCACAGUAAAGACUUCGGUCUUUAUGGGUGGCGAGUGGCGGACGGGUGAGUAACGCGUAGGAAUCUGUCCUGGAGAGUGGGAUAACCCGAGGAAACUCGGGCUAAUACCGCAUGAUAUCGAGAGAUCAAAGGCAGGGGACCCUUCGGGGCCUUGCGCUCUAGGUUGAGCCUACGUCGGAUUAGCUAGUUGGUGGGGUAAAGGCCUACCAAGGCGACGAUCCGUAGCUGGACUGAGAGGAUGACCAGACACACUGGGACUGAGACACGGCCCAGACUCCUACGGGAGGCAGCAGUGGGGAAUCUUGGACAAUGGGGGAAACCCUGAUCCAGCGAUGCCGCGUGUGUGAAGAAGGCCUUCGGGUUGUAAAGCACUUUAGGUGGGGAAGAAAGGUAAUGAGUGAAUAACUGAUUGCUUUGACGGUACCCGCAGAAUAAGCACCGGCUAACUCUGUGCCAGCAGCCGCAGUAA